GACGAACGCUGGCGGCGUGCUUAACACAUGCAAGUCGAACGGUGAAGCGAGUGCUUGCACUCGUGGAUCAGUGGCGAACGGGUGAGUAACACGUGAGUAACCUGCCCAUCACUCUGGGAUAAGCACUGGAAACGGUGUCUAAUACUGGAUACGACCAACCCUUGCAUGGGGUGUUGGUGGAAAGAUUUAUCGGUGAUGGAUGGACUCGCGGCCUAUCAGCUUGUUGGCGGGGUAAUGGCCCACCAAGGCGACGACGGGUAGCCGGCCUGAGAGGGUGACCGGCCACACUGGGACUGAGACACGGCCCAGAGUCCUACGGGAGGCAGCGGUGGGGAAUAUUGCACAAUGGGCGAAAGCCUGAUGCAGCGACGCCGCGUGAGGGAUGACGGCCUUCGGGUUGUAAACCUCUUUCAGCAGGGAAGAAGCGAAAGUGACGGUACCUGCAGAAGAAGCACCGGCUAACUACGUG
This 469-nucleotide ribosomal RNA is filed under the name uncultured bacterium. RNAcentral's name for it is "partial 16S ribosomal RNA". It matches the Rfam family "Bacterial small subunit ribosomal RNA", at positions 28 to 507 of the family's 1533-position model. The record is from RNAcentral.